AAGACCUUGCGCUUUUGGAGCGGCCGAUGCCUGAUUAGCUUGUUGGUAAGGUAAAAGCUUACCAAGGCUUCGAUCAGUAGCUGGUCUGAGAGGACGACCAGCCACACUGGGACUGAGACACGGCCCAGACUCCUACGGGAGGCAGCAGUGGGGAAUUUUGGACAAUGGGGGCAACCCUGAUCCAGCCAUGCCGCGUGAGUGAAGAAGGCCUUCGGGUUGUAAAGCUCUUUCAGCCGGAACGAAACGGUUACGGUUAACACCCGUGACUACUGACGGUACCGGAAGAAGAAGCACCGGCUAACUACGUGCCAGCAGCCGCGGUAAUACGUAGGGUGCGAGCGUUAAUCGGAAUUACUGAGCGUAAAGCGUGCGCAGGUGGUUUUGUAAGUCAGAUGUGAAAGCCCCGGGCUCAACCUGGGAACU
This 423-nucleotide ribosomal RNA is filed under the name uncultured bacterium. RNAcentral describes it as "bacterial SSU rRNA". It matches the Rfam family "Bacterial small subunit ribosomal RNA", at positions 207 to 622 of the family's 1533-position model. The record is from RNAcentral.